AUGCGAUUGCAUUCCAUGUAGUAACAUAUGCGAUCAUACCAGCACUAAUGCACUGGAUCCCAUCAGAACUCCGCAGUUAAGCGUGCUUGGGCGAGAGUAGUACGAGGAUGGGUGACCUCGAGGAAUGUCCUCGUGUUGCAUCCCUCUUUUUUUCCGGUUUUUCUCUUUUUUGUUUUGUUAAAAAUGUAUGACUCUAUAACUUUUAGACCGUGAGGCCAAACUUGGCAUGCCAUACCUUUUCGGAAAGCCCAAAGAGAGCUCUCCAAUGAAUGAGGAAGGAAAAUGGAAUUCUUCUAUUGUUUUUUUUUCUACUCAAAAUUUUGACCUUAAUGUACAUUUUCGGGCCUUUUCUUGAUCUUUGCAAUAUUACGAGGCAAAAAUUAUAUGUUUGGACAUUGUUUUUGAAUAUUUUGCAUGUCUCAAAGCUCUUAUAAACAAGAUAGAUUGCAAUGCAUGUAGUAACGGAUGCUAUCAUACUAGCACUAAUGCACCAGAUCCCAUCAGAACUCCGCAGUUAAGCGUGCUUGAAAAAGAGUUGUACUAGUAUGGGUGACCUCCCGGAAAGUCCUCGUGUUGCAUCCCUCUUUUUUUUUUUUUUGGUUUUUCUCUUUUUUUUUGUUAAAAAUGUAUGACUUUAUAACUUUAAUACCGUGAGGCCAAACUUGACAUGUGAUACAUUUUCGGAAGGCCCAAAGAGAACUCUCCGAUGAAUGAGGAAGGAAAAUGGUAU
Molecule: small RNA, 730 nt
Filed under: Arabidopsis thaliana (thale cress)
Lineage: Eukaryota; Viridiplantae; Streptophyta; Magnoliopsida; Brassicales; Brassicaceae
Source: RNAcentral